This 429-nucleotide ribosomal RNA is filed under the name Chloroflexota bacterium. RNAcentral describes it as "Chloroflexi bacterium partial 16S ribosomal RNA". It matches the Rfam family "Bacterial small subunit ribosomal RNA", at positions 355 to 776 of the family's 1533-position model. The record is from RNAcentral. Lineage: Bacteria; Bacillati; Chloroflexota.
UGGGGAAUAUUGCACAAUGGGCGCAAGCCUGAUGCAGCCAUGCCGCGUGUAUGAAGAAGGCCUUCGGGUUGUAAAGUACUUUCAGUCGGGAGGAAGGUGGUAAGGUUAAUAACCUUAUCAAUUGACGUUACCGACAGAAGAAGCACCGGCUAACUCCGUGCCAGCAGCCGCGGUAAUACGGAGGGUGCAAGCGUUAAUCGGAAUUACUGGGCGUAAAGCGCACGCAGGCGGUUUGUUAAGUCAGAUGUGAAAUCCCCGGGCUCAACCUGGGAACUGCAUCUGAUGCUGGCAAGCUUGAGUCUCGUAGAGGGGGGUAGAAUUCCAGGUGUAGCGGCGAAAUGCGUAGAGAUCUGGAGGAAUACCGGUGGCGAAGGCGGCCCCCUGGACGAAGACUGACGCUCAGGUGCGAAAGCGUGGGGAGCAAACAGG